Molecule: long non-coding RNA, 1238 nt
Filed under: Chrysemys picta bellii (western painted turtle)
Lineage: Eukaryota; Metazoa; Chordata; Testudines; Emydidae
Description: lncRNA (ENSCPBG00000017617.1)
Source: RNAcentral
GCCACCCCCUCCUCGGUGCCAGUGGCCUAUAAGCCCCGCUUCCAACUGCCCUGCAGCGGGACGUCUGGCUUCUAGCUCCGCGGCCCCAGCACCGCCACGCCGGGAAUCCGGUAUCCAGCGCCCCAGGCCACUACCCCGGGUGGAGCCACCGCAUCCGUGCAUCAGGUACCCCCACCUUCCAGCUCCUCCGCCCCAACUCGCGGGGCUGCCGCCGUCCAGCUUCCUGCAGCAACGCACAAGAUCCCGCCUCAGCGCCCCCACCUGCAGCCCCAGGCCAAUGCAGACCGAUCCUCGAGCUACAGGAGUCCCAGCUUGUGCAGUUAGGACCGGAGCGCCCUCUAGUGAAACAACUAGUUUGAGAAGAGACCCAAAGAGAAGAUGGAAGUUAGGAAGGUGAGUUGAAGGGUCAUGUUGGGGGACGGCCUUAAACCCAAUGUAACAUCUUUUACAGUGAAAGUUCUAAUGAACUUUCCUGGCUUUGUACAAAUAGCUUUACGGGGUCCCGGCUUAUUUAUGUCUCAAUCGUUCCCUUAUCAAACAUGCUCAGUUUUCAAGUAAAUGAGUUGAGAGUGCUGUCCAGAGCGGUCACAAUGAAGCACUGUGGGAUAGCUCCCGGAGGCCAAUAACGUCGAAUUCCGUCCACACUACCCCAAUUCCGACCCCCUAAGGCCGAUUUUGUCGCUAAUCCCCUCAUCGGAGGUGGAGUAAAGAAACCGAUUUAAAGGGCCCUUUAAGUCGAAAGAAAGGGCUUCGUCGUGUGAACGUGUCCGAUGUCUAUCUAAAUGUCAGCCCAGCAAACUCAUCGGAAAAGCUGUCUCCUUUCCUGUUCAUUCAUUACCAUGAGCAAUAGGCUUGUGUUAUAACAGGAAUUAUAACUAAAACUAAGAGGUUGGCCUGUCCUAGUCACCUGACACGGGACUAGAAGGUUAGUACAUCUGUUUUAUGACAGAGUUCACUAUCCAGUGACUUCAGUUACACUGCAACUUACAAGGCAACCACAUUGUCCUUAAAUUAUGUUUUCAGUUAGACCUUGUACAACACUAUUACCAUUAGUGAGGUUGCACAGGUGUAACUAGGAUAUACGUUGAAGCCAAUCAGGUUACACAGGUGGCCCAAAAUUGGAAUUUAGUUAACAGUUCUGUUGAGUCAGGAACCAGAAAAAAGAUAUAGUUCACUGUCCCAGAACUAUGUUGGUUCUGAAGGGCUAACAAUAAAACGUGUUUUCACUCAAGUAAGCA